Molecule: ribosomal RNA, 700 nt
Filed under: uncultured bacterium
Lineage: Bacteria
Description: bacterial SSU rRNA
Rfam family: Bacterial small subunit ribosomal RNA
Source: RNAcentral
CCUAGCGGCAGGCUUAAUACAUGCAAGUCGAGGGGCAGCAGGUCUGUAGCAAUACAGGCGCUGGCGACCGGCAAACGGGUGCGGAACACGUACACAACCUUCCUUUAAGCGGGGAAUAGCCCGGGGAAACCCGGAUUAAUACCUCAUAGUAUAAUGAAGAGGCAUCUUUUUAUUAUUAAAGAUUUAUCACUUGAAGAUGGGUGUGCGGCUGAUUAGGUAGUUGGCGGGGUAACGGCCCACCAAGCCUACGAUCAGUAACUGGUGUGAGAGCACGACCAGUCACACGGGCACUGAGACACGGGCCCGACUCCUACGGGAGGCAGCAGUAAGGAAUAUUGGUCAAUGGACGAAAGUCUGAACCAGCCAUGCCGCGUGGAGGAUGAAGGUCCUCUGGAUUGUAAACUUCUUUUAUAUGGGACGAAAAAAGGCUUUUCCAGGUCGUCUGACGGUACCAUAUGAAUAAGCACCGGCUAACUCCGUGCCAGCAGCCGCGGUAAUACGGAGGGUGCAAGCGUUAUCCGGAUUCACUGGGUUUAAAGGGUGCGUAGGUGGGUUGAUAAGUCAGUGGUGAAAUCCCCGAGCUUAACUUGGGAACUGCCAUUGAUACUAUUGAUCUUGAAUACCGUGGAGGUCAGCGGAAUAUGUCAUGUAGCGGUGAAAUGCUUAGAUAUGACAUAGAACACCCAAUUUGCGAAGGCAG